RNAcentral lists this ribosomal RNA (496 nucleotides) under uncultured bacterium. RNAcentral describes it as "partial 16S ribosomal RNA". It matches the Rfam family "Bacterial small subunit ribosomal RNA", at positions 29 to 507 of the family's 1533-position model. The record is from RNAcentral.
AUGAACGCUGGCGGCGUGCCUAAUACAUGCAAGUCGAGCGAACAGACGAGGAGCUUGCUCCUCUGACGUUAGCGGCGGACGGGUGAGUAACACGUGGAUAACCUACCUAUAAGACUGGGAUAACUUCGGGAAACCGGAGCUAAUACCGGAUAAUAUAUUGAACCGCAUGGUUCAAUAGUGAAAGACGGUUUUGCUGUCACUUAUAGAUGGAUCCGCGCCGCAUUAGCUAGUUGGUAAGGUAACGGCUUACCAAGGCAACGAUGCGUAGCCGACCUGAGAGGGUGAUCGGCCACACUGGAACUGAGACACGGUCCAGUCUCCUACGGGAGGCAGCAGUAGGGAAUCUUCCGCAAUGGGCGAAAGCCUGACGGAGCAACGCCGCGUGAGUGAUGAAGGUCUUCGGAUCGUAAAACUCUGUUAUUAGGGAAGAACAAAUGUGUAAGUAACUAUGCACGUCUUGACGGUACCUAAUCAGAAAGCCACGGCUAACUACGUG